RNAcentral lists this ribosomal RNA (490 nucleotides) under uncultured bacterium. Its description in RNAcentral is "partial 16S ribosomal RNA". It matches the Rfam family "Bacterial small subunit ribosomal RNA", at positions 28 to 507 of the family's 1533-position model. The record is from RNAcentral.
GAUGAACGCUAGCGGCAGGCCUAAUACAUGCAAGUCGAACGGGAUCCAGAUCAAAGCUUGCUUUGGUCUGGUGAGAGUGGCGCACGGGUGCGUAACGCGUGAGCAACCUACCCUUGUCAGGGGGAUAGCCCGGCGAAAGUCGGAUUAAUACCGCAUGACAUCAUUGAGAGGCAUCUUUCGAUGAUCAAAGAUUUAUCGGACAAGGAUGGGCUCGCGUGACAUUAGCUAGUUGGUAAGGUAACGGCUUACCAAGGCUGCGAUGUCUAGGGGCUCUGAGAGGAGAAUCCCCCACACUGGUACUGAGACACGGACCAGACUCCUACGGGAGGCAGCAGUAAGGAAUAGUGGUCAAUGGACGGAAGUCUGAACCAGCCAUGCCGCGUGCAGGAAGACGGCCCUAUGGGUUGUAAACUGCUCUUAGACGGGAACAAACGUCGGUACGUGUACCGGUCUGAGUGUACCGUAAGAAUAAGGAUCGGCUAACUCCGUG